GAUGAACGCUGGCGGCGUGCCUAAUACAUGCAAGUCGAGCGAACAGACGAGGAGCUUGCUCCUCUGACGUUAGCGGCGGACGGGUGAGUAACACGUGGAUAACCUACCUAUAAGACUGGGAUAACUUCGGGAAACCGGAGCUAAUACCGGAUAACAUGUUGAACCGCAUGGUUCAACAGUGAAAGACGGUUUUGCUGUCACUUAUAGAUGGAUCCGCGCCGCAUUAGCUAGUUGGUAAGGUAACGGCUUACCAAGGCAACGAUGCGUAGCCGACCUGAGAGGGUGAUCGGCCACACUGGAACUGAGACACGGUCCAGACUCCUACGGGAGGCAGCAGUAGGGAAUCUUCCGCAAUGGGCGAAAGCCUGACGGAGCAACGCCGCGUGAGUGAAGAAGGUCUUCGGAUCGUAAAACUCUGUUAUUAGGGAAGAACAAAUGUGUAAGUAACUAUGCACGUCUUGACGGUACCUAAUCAGAAAGCCACGGCUAACUACGU
This 496-nucleotide ribosomal RNA is filed under the name uncultured bacterium. RNAcentral describes it as "partial 16S ribosomal RNA". It matches the Rfam family "Bacterial small subunit ribosomal RNA", at positions 28 to 506 of the family's 1533-position model. The record is from RNAcentral.